This 460-nucleotide ribosomal RNA is filed under the name uncultured bacterium. RNAcentral's name for it is "partial 16S ribosomal RNA". It matches the Rfam family "Bacterial small subunit ribosomal RNA", at positions 338 to 795 of the family's 1533-position model. The record is from RNAcentral.
CCUACGGGAGGCAGCAGUGAGGAAUAUUGGUCAAUGGGCGCGAGCCUGAACCAGCCAAGUAGCGUGAAGGAUGACUGCCUUACGGGUUGUAAACUUCUUUUAUAAAGGAAUAAAGUGAGGUACGUGUGUAUUUAUGCACGUACUUCAUGAAUAAGGAUCGGCUAACUCCGUGCCAGCAGCCGCGGUAAUACGGAGGAUCUGAGCGUUAUCCGGAUUUAUUGGGUUUAAAGGGAGCGUAGAUGGGUUGUUAAGUCAGUUGUGAAAGUUUGCGGCUCAACCGUAAAAUUGCAAUUGAUACUGGCAGUCUUGAGUGCAGUUGAGGUAGGCGGAAUUCGUGGUGUAGCGGUGAAAUGCUUAGAUAUCACGAAGAACUCCGAUUGCGAAGGCAGCUUACUAAACUGCCACUGACAUUGAUGCUCGAAAGCGUGGGUAUCGAACAGGAUUAGAUACCCGGGUAGUC